UUUGAGGAGCAGAUUCGAACAAUCAUAUCAGAGUACAAAACCGCUGUCAAAAGCAACGACAGGCUCCGCCGCAGUCAGAGGUUUCGUAAGAAAAUGCAGCCACAGGAUCAGUCAACUGCCACAUCCAGUCAAAAAAAGAAUGCAGUCAAAACUCAGGAAAAAAUGGAGUCGGCAUCAGCGAACAAAUCUACCUCAGCCAAAGUGUCUGUUCCCGAGAGAGCCAGGAGGAGUCGGAGCAGCUCAGGUCACAGCUCGUCAGAGAACGACUCGGGCUCCAAAGCAGCUUCGUCAACAUCAGAUUCUGAUGGUGAGUCUGAGGAGAAACAUUCAAGCUCUUCCAAGGCAUAAUCAGCGCAGACAGAAGGCACGAGUUACCAGAAGCAACCGCCCCAAAGCAAAGGAAGAGAGUUGCCGAUAGUGACAGUGAUGAAGAUAUUGACAGUGAAGCUGAAGAGGAAGAAGAUGGAGCUUUGCUCCACUCAGUCCUCAGAUCGUAUUUAUCCCAGCAGGAGCACACGGCUGACGAGAAGCAUCGCUUCACGGUAACAUGCCUCAUUGGCUGCUGUUACAGUCGGGUGACCAUAUUUGAAUUUUGAAAAAGGGGACACGUGGGUGGACCUCUGCAUACUUCAAGUCUGCCCUUGAAAAAAUCUCAUAUACCUUCUUAAAAUCUCUCAAUCAGUAUAUCAAUUAGGAACAUCUCCUAGAAAUAGGAAAAAAAAACAUAACAGCAAAUGAUCAUUAAUAUACACCUCACUAAAUAACUUUGAAAAUUUGCUUCACAUGGUCCCAUGCUGACUCUGAGUUUUAUUCUGUCUGUCGUCUGUGGAGACGGAAUUGUACCGUAACCUCCUACAUUCUAUGUUUCUCCCGAUGGCUCUAUCGUUUUCAAGCCCAUCCCCGAUCCUCCAUGGAGGUUUUGUCAUCCAAGAGGAUCUUCCUGCUGAUAUUUUUUCAUUAAAUCCACCAGUAUUUUUGUCUCUUUGAAUUCAUUUUGGACUUUAGUCUCUCUCUUCUCUCUAACCUGUGUCUGACGAUUUUGUCAAAACAAAGCAGCAUUUAUAUAAUGGCUCUGUCACGCGUGAGUAAAAAUUAUCGCAAUUACAUUAUAUUGGCUUGUAAAGAUUAGCUUUAAGAAACUGCUGGAAUUUUUCCGAUAAAGCAAAUAUUAGCAGAGUUUCAAUUAACGUGUUCCCCUAGAGGUGUUCAGGGUCCCUGGGAAACCCGGACAUUUUGAUAAGUUUGUAAAAUCCGGCUGGAUGGUUUGGACAAGACGUGAAAAGACAUGUCCUGAUAAAUCUGGACGUAUGGUCACCCUAUGCUCCAGCCAAUGAGCUGCUGAUUCAUAUCGUCUUUGUUUUCAAUGAUGUCU
RNAcentral lists this long non-coding RNA (1372 nucleotides) under Gouania willdenowi (blunt-snouted clingfish). RNAcentral's name for it is "lncRNA (ENSGWIG00000002911.1)". The record is from RNAcentral. Lineage: Eukaryota; Metazoa; Chordata; Actinopteri; Blenniiformes; Gobiesocidae.